Myxocyprinus asiaticus (Chinese sucker) is the source of this 5328-nucleotide long non-coding RNA. RefSeq lists it as uncharacterized. The record is from RefSeq and is a predicted model, not a curated record. The transcript has 9 exons. NCBI's taxonomy places the organism in Eukaryota, Metazoa, Chordata, Actinopteri, Cypriniformes, Catostomidae.
CCCUGCUUAACUGCCCGCACAUGCAGUAUGUCGUCUCACGCAGAUAGAGAGGUUAGCUGACCGAGAAUAUGGGUGUAAAAAGUACAGGAAUGUUAGGCCAUGUUGGUUUCUAUGCAUGGAUUUUGAUGUGUAUAUUUUUGCAGCACAUUUUUAACAGCUAAUGAUUCAGCCUAGAAAGGCCUCGAGCUUGAAGGGCCACUCCUGAGCGGAGAGAUCGGGAAUAUUGGAUUGCUCCUAUUAUGAUCAAUGAAGCCAUUCAAUGAAACUGUGGACAAGAUCUAGGCUUGUAGAAGGGGAGUGACAGUGAUGUUAUCAGAAAGCUGGGUAGAGUCCCGUGAGCAGGGAGAAGAGCCAGGUGCCGGACAGAGAAAGGACAGACAGCAUGUCCAGAAAGACACACACCAGACGAUGGAGGACCAGGACCAAUCAGACAAGAAGAAGAGGGGCAGUACAUUGAAUGCUGGUGUUGAGGCUGUGCUGUGAUGUUACACGCUGUUACAAUAUUGAGACCAGGAGGAGAAGGUGGACCUCUCAGAAGAUGCACAAAGGUCAUGUGAAACAUGCAGAUUGAACCCUGCCAGUGAGCGUCUCAUUUGCUGAGAGGGACAGAGACAAGCGUCUUGAAGAUCCAUGGGGCCCUGGACUAUUCUUCUUCUUCUGGGGAAGCAGCGGGGCCUCCAUAGUUGUUUCAUAUUGUGAGAGUCGAGGCUGGCAGCGUAUAUGACAAGACCAGGCUGGACUACAAGCUGAAGUGUUGUGAAACUAAAUCACCUGCUACCUACUACAACUUCAAAGCAGGUCCUCUAAACAGCCUACGGGAAUAUGAGAGAGUCAGCAGCAAGGUCAUCUUGGGACAUGGAAACAGGUUAUAAACCUAGCUGCUUUUUUGAUAGUAACAGAGACAAGGUAACAAUACAAAAAUAAAACAUUUAAUAGCAUGAUAGAAUUAGGCUAGUUACGUUACACCUUGUUUUACUUUUUGUUCAUGCAACAAAAAAAUAUAUAAUAUUGUUCAUGCAAAAAAAAUUUUAAUCUUUUUAAUUUAAUUGCUCCUUUUAUUUGGAAUUUGUUUACAUGUUGCAGGAGGAUGAGAAUGGAGUGAUGUUUUCUUGUCACUUUCCACAUGGAUAUGAAAGACUUGAGGGAGGCAUUCUUUAAUGGCCUUAACUAGGGGUGUGGUAUUUUCCUACUGCGGACAUCUGAAGACAUCGCAGCAUUCAGAUAAAGACUGCAGAACACAAUAGAGCAGCAGUCAGACAGAAAGUCACCUUUCAGAAUGCCACAGGCCAUUGUUGUUCAAUGGUACAUCAAGAACCCAUUGCUACUAAAAGGCAAGAAGUUUGACGUGCGGUCAUACUUUCUAAUUGCUUGUACCUCGCCAUUCAUAGUGUUUUUCCCCAUGGUUACGUCUGAUUGACAUGUAACCAUUAUGACCCCAACUCCGACAAUCUCACGGGCCACUUGACCAAUCAAUACAUGCAGAAGAAGAACACUUUGUACAAUCUACUAAAAGAAGAGACAGUUUGGUCCAUGGAGCAGCUCAAUACAUAUAUUACUGAGACGUAUAUGCUGCCAAAGGGUCUACCCAAAGACUGGGCUCUGGCUCCUUGUGCAGUGAGUUUUGUCAUUUUGCAAACUUCAAAGGGGAAUAGAGAACCGAUUAAAGCAUGGUGGGUGUUAGCCAAAGGCAGAUUUAUCAUAAUAUUCUCAGAAGUAAUUAAAAAGAUAUUACUGAAAUUAUCUGUUAAUCUGUCUCAACUCUAAAGAACUUAGUGGGAUCUACAUGUUACUUAGCAGUGUCAACAUGUAGAUUUAUUUAAAUUACUUGCAAAAGAUGCAGAUGUGCUGUUGUUCUUUAGAUUUAACAGUUUUACAUCCCGUCUACACCAGUGCCUCGUUUCAAAAGCAAUAAAACCCAUUAUAAUCAAAAUGAUGCUGUCUACACUGGAAGUGUCCAUUGCGGCACAUUGCAUUGACAGUAAACGGGUGUCCCGUUCCAUUUUGCCCUGCACACGCUGGCACUGCUACUACCAACAACACAUAAACGGUUUAGAAUGUUCGUGUCGAUGCGCCCAAUGUAGACAGUGUGUCACAUGUAUGUAAAGUUACAGUAAAAGGGAAGCUCUUCACAUACAUUGAGAAAGAUGAAACUAAAUUGCAAGGUCUAACAAAUAUGUUUAUCUUGGAGUCCAGUUGUGUGUUUUUUUGGACAAACUCAAAAUAAUAAUUUUGACAGGCUUAAUAAAACAUGUAAAUCAGUGAAUUUAUAAAAUGUGAUUGUGUUUUCAGUAAUUGAUCAUGCAUCCUAACUUUGUGCUGUUGCGGAAGAAAAUGCAGCAUAUUAUUUAUACAGUGCUUUCAGGCUGUCAAAGCUAAGCUGGACUGCACACUUGGUUACUUGGUUGGACCUAAUUGGUUGUGACUUCUUGAUUGAUGAGGAAUUCAAGGUGAGGCACAUAUAAAAUAAUAAUAAUUUAUUACGAUUUUAAGUGUGUGUGUGUGUGUGUGUGUGUGUGUGCGUGUGCGUGUGUGUGUGUGUGUGUGUGUGUCAUAACCUCAUUGCAGCCUGACAGGAUUAAGAGCGCCAGACACAGGAGAUUAGUUUUAGAAUUAUCCACUGAAUGUGGUAAGGUCCAUAAAGACUUUAUUUAUCUGCUCUGUAAUCUCCUUAGUUUCUUCAAGACAAUUAUGAUACAGUUUUCUUAUGCUGGCAUGGUGCUCUGGAAAUGGAUGUUCAGAGGCCAGUUGUCCCCCUAUGGAGCAUCCUAAAUUCAAUCCCUGCCAAGCUGUUGCCAGGCAACCCAUGAACUGUCAGCAUAAACACAUGGUCCCCAGGCCAGGCAUAUACUGGUCUCCAGGUUACCAGAUCAUUAUGGAUUCACACAUAACAACCAGCAACAUUUAUAUUGGACAAUAUCACACAGCACUGACUGAAUAACACUUAUCACAUACAGCAAUAUCAGUGCCUUAAAAGCCUCCUAUUAGCACUUAGAUUCUUUGCUUUACCCAGGUAUUACGCUGCCUCACUCAGGUAUGUACAUGCAUUUCACAAUCAAAGUUAAUGUGAAAUUCUGGCAUAUGUGUACACUACAUCACUGCUCUUACUACAAAAAUAAUUUAAUGUACAGUACAUAUUUAUAGUAUAGGCAAAAUCCAAUUGUAUAUUUGGCUGGCAAAUAGAUUCAAUGAAUGGAGCACUUUGAGUAGGAUAAGGGUGCCCUCUACUGGAUAAAGUUUUCUUCAGUGUCAUGUAAAUAUAUUGCAUUUUAUUAGGUCUGUACUUGUCAUAAAAGAAAGAAAACUUCAUAAACUUGUAUCUUUGUAACUUGUGAUAUAGAUUGACUGUGAUGUGUAUUAUACAGUACUUAUUCUGGGCAGGAUUGGUUGCUAGAGAUGAACUGUAACCUGGCGCUGCAUACUGUGAUGUACUAAAAGAUGUGGUUUGAUAAAAGAUGAUUCGAUAAAAAAAACUAUAUCUCUGAAUACAUAAAAAAAAUGUUUAACUAAAUUAUUAAAAAUAACUUUUAUAUCAAUUAUUGGUGAACAAAUACAUUUUAGCUUGUGUUUUAGUCCUUACAUUGAAAAUCACUUCAUUCUAAAUUAAGUAAAACACCUUUUUUUCUAUUUUGUUGGAAUAAUGCAUGUGUGUGAAUUCUGUGGGAAUGCAUUGCUUGUGAUCAUGGUACAUGAUAAAAUGAGGUGUGACAACACUAAGAUGUAGAUGGGACACACUUGGUUUUUCAGACCUAACUUUGGAAAUCUUCAACAAGUCUUGCUGUGGGCUGAAGCUGUUGCCCCUAAACAGUCAAAGAGACUUUGUUUUGCUUUAUAGUGGUGAGACUAUGCCCAUAACCAACAAAAAGCACAAAACUGCAGUGCCCCUCUCGACCCUCCAUCCAAAGAGCAACUCCAUGCACAAUAUCACCAGCAAAACCCAGAGAGCCAUUGCCAAAGCAGCAGCAGCGGCAGCAACAACAAUAACAACAACAACAACAACAACAACAACAGGGAAAUCAACCAAUAGGGGCACCAAAUCUCAAGUUAGUGCUACCACAGAAACCCAAGCCAAACCUCCUGUCACUUCAACCAGUUCCUGUUCUUUCUCAUAUGCCACUUUGUCUAAUACAAGCCCACCAACUAAGCAACAAGCAAGAGUGGCAUCCACAACCCACAGAAACCUGACAUCCAAAGCUCAAGAAACGAAUCAACCUCGACCACACCAGCCUAAACCUGUCCAUUCUUGUGUAGAGUUGAGGCUCAGUAAUUGCACCUGGCAGCCACCUGCAGGGGUCUCCAACCUCUUCGUACCUCCACAACCAGUACCGGUGAGAAGUGCUAUCAGGUCUCCUUCUACACCAGCCCUAAGCAAAGGCUUAAACUCCACUCAAAGUCUUGGCCCUCGAGGCUUCCAGACAAAGGGGAGCACAUGAGCUGCCACCUCAAGAUGUCCAAGAUUCAUCUGGCUCAGCCAUACUCCCUCCAGACUGGGUGAACAGAGAAGAAAGAACCCAGAGAAAAGAUGAUGGAUGACAUAAGAAAGAACUGAGCUAUAGUCUGAUCACUCAACUCUGAACUCAAAGUUAUUACGAGGGAAUGUUCUCAGAAUAACCUGAAUCUGACUCAGAUUCAGUUUAUGACUAAUGCUAUUCCUCAUCAAUGUAAGUGCAGCGUGGUUCUAGCGGGAAGACUAGCAGCUUUACAUCAUCGCACCAUUAGCUAGGUAACUCCUGGCCAAUCACAUGUAAGCCAUUGCUUUGUAAGUCUGCUCACAAUCUAUCACAUUGCUGUUUCAGUGUGCUAACAUGGCAACCUCCACCACCCCACCACCACCAGCUGAGUCCCGUCCUGCACUGGGGUAGGCUCCUCGCCCCUGCCUCCUAUCUCUGGCAGGAUAUGAUGGUUCCGAGUACAACUUCUUCGGACCGCCAGACGGGGCUUCGUCAAAGAGAGACAUUACAUUUCUGUUUUAUAUUCAUCAAAUAAAUGUCAUCUUAAAUUUCACUCAAGUCUGCGAGUCUUCCUGAUGGAACCAUCGUUAUUUCAAUAACUGACUCAACAACCCUCACAGAAUGAGAACGCUCACUGGAGGAAGCACAACAGAAUACAGGAAUAUUGAGAUGCUAUUUUCAAAGUUUCCUCUACUUUCAACUUUACACAGUAUCCAAAAAAAUGCAGCGUUUAUGAUACUGAAUACCACUGAGAUGCUCCAAACGCAUCCGUCUGAGGCACGCAAAUGUGUGUAGAGCGACAAUUAAAAACAGUGCAGAUGGAGCGCAAGAACUGGACGCAAUGACAAACUCAAACUCAACUGUAUGCUUGUUCAGUGAU